This 253-nucleotide ribosomal RNA is filed under the name uncultured bacterium. Its description in RNAcentral is "partial 16S ribosomal RNA". It matches the Rfam family "Bacterial small subunit ribosomal RNA", at positions 524 to 776 of the family's 1533-position model. The record is from RNAcentral.
GACGUAGGGCGCGAGCGUUGUCCGGAUUUAUUGGGCGUAAAGAGCUCGUAGGCGGCUCGUUGCGUCGGCUGUGAAAACCCGCGGCUCAACCGUGGGCUUGCAGCUGAUACGGGCGGGCUGGAGUUCGGUAGGGAAGACUGGAAUUCCUGGUGUAGCGGUGAAAUGCGCAGAUAUCAGGAGGAACACCGGUGGCGAAGGCGGGUCUCUGGGCCGAUACUGACGCUGAGGAGCGAAAGCGUGGGGAGCGAACAGG